This 280-nucleotide ribosomal RNA is filed under the name uncultured bacterium. RNAcentral's name for it is "partial 16S ribosomal RNA". It matches the Rfam family "Bacterial small subunit ribosomal RNA", at positions 506 to 784 of the family's 1533-position model. The record is from RNAcentral.
UGCCAGCAGCCGCGGUAAUACGGAGGGUGCAAGCGUUGUUCGGAAUUAUUGGGCGUAAAGGGCGCGCAGGCGGUCUUGUCCGUCAGGUGUGAAAGCUCGGGGCUCAACCCCGGAAGUGCACUUGGAAACUGGCGAACUUGAGUACGGGAGAGGAAAGUGGAAUUCCGAGUGUAGGGGUGAAAUCCGUAGAUAUUCGGAGGAACACCAGUGGCGAAGGCGGCUUUCUGGACCGAUACUGACGCUGAGACGCGAAAGCGUGGGGAGCAAACAGGAUUAGAUA